Molecule: ribosomal RNA, 252 nt
Filed under: Klebsiella pneumoniae
Lineage: Bacteria; Pseudomonadati; Pseudomonadota; Gammaproteobacteria; Enterobacterales; Enterobacteriaceae
Description: partial 23S ribosomal RNA
Rfam family: Bacterial large subunit ribosomal RNA
Source: RNAcentral
AGGCCGAAAGGCGUAGUCGAUGGGAAACAGGUUAAUAUUCCUGUACUUGGUGUUACUGCGAAGGGGGGACGGAGAAGGCUAUGUUAGCCGGGCGACGGUUGUCCCGGUUUACGCAUGUAGGCUGAUUAUCCAGGCAAAUCCGGAUAAUCAAGGCUGAGGUGUGAUGACGAGGCACUACGGUGCUGAAGUAACAAAUGCCCUGCUUCCAGGAAAAGCCUCUAAGCAUCAGGUAACAUCAAAUCGUACCCCAAA